Molecule: ribosomal RNA, 507 nt
Filed under: uncultured bacterium
Lineage: Bacteria
Description: partial 16S ribosomal RNA
Rfam family: Bacterial small subunit ribosomal RNA
Source: RNAcentral
AUUGAACGCUGGCGGCAUGCCUUACACAUGCAAGUCGAACGGCAGCGGGGGAGAAGCUUGCUUUUCCUGCCGGCGAGUGGCGAACGGGUGAGUAAUACAUCGGAACGUGCCCUGUAGUGGGGGAUAACUAGUCGAAAGAUAGCUAAUACCGCAUACGACCUGAGGGUGAAAGUGGGGGACCGCAAGGCCUCAUGCUAUAGGAGCGGCCGAUGUCUGAUUAGCUAGUUGGUGGGGUAAAGGCCUACCAAGGCGACGAUCAGUAGCUGGUCUGAGAGGACGAUCAGCCACACUGGGACUGAGACACGGCCCAGACUCCUGCGGGAGGCAGCAGUGGGGAAUUUUGGACAAUGGGCGAAAGCCUGAUCCAGCAAUGCCGCGUGUGUGAAGAAGGCCUUCGGGUUGUAAAGCACUUUUGUCCGGAAAGAAAUGGCUCUGGUUAAUACCUGGGGUCGAUGACGGUACCGGAAGAAUAAGGACCGGCUAACUACGUGCCAGCCGCCGCAGUAA